GAGGCCGGCAAGUGCUGGGUCCAUCAUGACACGAUGGAUAAGAGAGGUGCAAUUCCUCCCCUUAACCCCCGGUAGCGGCCCA
This is a regulatory RNA element of 82 nucleotides. It matches the Rfam family "Tymovirus/Pomovirus/Furovirus tRNA-like 3' UTR element". The record is from Rfam.